Molecule: non-coding RNA, 1940 nt
Organism: Schizosaccharomyces pombe (fission yeast)
Lineage: Eukaryota; Fungi; Ascomycota; Schizosaccharomycetes; Schizosaccharomycetales; Schizosaccharomycetaceae
Source: the annotation of a GenBank genome assembly
ACUAAUAAACAUUCCUUCUUAACCAGAAAAAUGAUAGAAUUUUUUGACUUAAAAUCCUUGUAGGCCACAGAACGAUAUAUUCGUUCUAAAACUUCCGUAAGGAAAUGGUCAACUCCAAUUAGCUAUCACCUUUUUUCCUGUAUAAGAAAAGAACCAGCUCAAAAUGUUUACUCAACUAAAUCAUUGUAAUAGCAUGUUGAGAAUUUUGUUUUUAAUAAUAGCAAUGAUAUGAGCAAUGAAGCAUGAAUUAGGAGAUUUUUUUUUUUUUUUUUUUCAAAUUGUGAAUUAUAGGCAAGAAGACUGAGCUUUCAAAAGAAGGACCGAAAGCAAUAAAUUUUAACAAAGACAAAAAAGAUAUGUAUUAAAGGUCAAAUGAAGGAAAAACACAGUACAAGAGAUCGGAGCACAAAAUAUUCACCUACCAAGGAAUGCAAGGAAACACGAAAUGGAAAACAGUAAAUUCAACAGGCGUAAGAAAACAAACGAUGAUUAGGACAGAGAGAUGAGGAACAUUGAUAAACAACAAGAAAACACAUUUUUAGAAUGCCAAAAGAAAGAGAGCUCUCAGUCGUCCAAUGGCAUGCGAACUUUAGGAACAGCAGGAGCCGCAUUGACUUUUUGCUUUUGAUGGAUAUAGCGUAAAUAUUCCCUAAGACCAUAACCGAAGUUGGAAAUGCAAUAAAACCCUACGACUAUGGUUGUGAACAAAUAAAUUAUGGUGACUAUUGAAAACACCAACAUACAAAUAUUUGCAACAGCAAUAUCCCCAUAGUCGACGCCUAGGUAUAGCCUAGCACAGUUGUAAAUAAAAUAUGCAAGUCCACACAUAAACAUAAACUGUACAAUCCCUAACAAUGCACGAUUUUCUCUGUAAACAGCAUACCUACAGGUCAUCAAAGUUGCGAUUGUACAGGGGAAGACAAGAAUGGUUAGUGCUAGCCCAACACGACUUAUGGUAGAAAAGAAGAUAGCAUAUUGAACAGUAGCCGUUAGGCAAAAAUAAUAGUCCGACUUAAUUAAGGACAUGAAUAUUUUGUAUACGAGAUACCUUCUUCUCAUUCGAAGAUCAGGACCAUGCUGCUGAUACAUAAUCCAUCCAAAUGCUUUGUUCAUUUUGUAAACCAAGAAGCUCAGCAAGAUACAAGUAACGCCGAUUAGCACCGGAAGAGCGAUUACAAAUGGCUUCAGAUAAAAUAACAACAUAUGAGAAUUAACAACUAUUCUUUCGUGAUAGUUAAAUGAUGUGACGAGGCGAAUGGGAUCUAUUAAGUAUAAAGCGGAGAGGAAAAUCGCUCUGGGGUCUUUUGAAAAUAUUUGAAAAUAUUGGACAACAGAUAGGCAAAAAAGGCUUACAUGAAAGAUAAGAAGUGCUGACAUCUAAACGUAUAAUUCGGUUAGCUUGAAUUGGUUUAGAUCUCAAGUGCGUCAACCAUAUGAAUCGACAAAAGACAAACAAUGCCAUUUUAGCUUUUUUUGGAGACAAUUAACUUACCUGUAUUACAUCCUUGUUUAAUAAUGCAUCUACAGCCGUAUAAAGUAAAUAGGGACAUGCCAUACAAAACAGUGCAAAUGUAGACGGCACCAUAGCAUUUAUAAAGACAUCAAUUUUUUCGACUGUGAUUAAACGAAAAUGAUGAAAAACAUAUCCUUCAAAAGAUAAUGUAAUGGUAACCUCGACAAUAAUGAUCAGCAGAAACCAUUGUGAUGAUUUUUUAAGAGAUCGAAGGAAGUCUUCAGCAGGCUUGAAUGACAAGAACUUUUUCAUGAUUAAAAGAAAUUAUUAAUAACGCUUUCAUGAAAGUCUUAAUCUCUUCACAGCUUAGUCACUUAGGCUCAUCGAACGUUGAUUGUAGGUGUUGUUUACCGCUUUGGUAAGCGACGAAGUUCACUCUGACUUAACGAAUACGACUGUACACUAGCUCAAAUACAACUUUUCUGAA